RNAcentral lists this ribosomal RNA (253 nucleotides) under uncultured bacterium. RNAcentral's name for it is "partial 16S ribosomal RNA". It matches the Rfam family "Bacterial small subunit ribosomal RNA", at positions 524 to 776 of the family's 1533-position model. The record is from RNAcentral.
UACGUAGGGUGCGAGCGUUGUCCGGAAUUAUUGGGCGUAAAGGGCUCGUAGGCGGUCUGUUGCGUCAGGAGUGAAAACUCGGGGCUUAACCCCGAGCCUGCUUCUGAUACGGGCAGACUAGAGGUAUGCAGGGGAGAACGGAAUUCCUGGUGUAGCGGUGAAAUGCGCAGAUAUCAGGAGGAACACCGGUGGCGAAGGCGGUUCACUGGGCAACUUCUGACGCUGAGGUGCGAAAGCUAGGGUAGCAAACGGG